This 403-nucleotide ribosomal RNA is filed under the name uncultured prokaryote. RNAcentral describes it as "bacterial SSU rRNA". It matches the Rfam family "Bacterial small subunit ribosomal RNA", at positions 355 to 774 of the family's 1533-position model. The record is from RNAcentral.
UAGGGAAUUUUGCGCAAUGGGCGAAAGCCUGACGCAGCAACGCCGCGUGUGUGACGAAGCCCUUCGGGGUGUAAAGCACUGUCAGUGGGGACGAAACUUGACGGUACCCACAGAGGAAGCACCGGCUAACUCCGUGCCAGCAGCCGCGGUAAUACGGAGGGUGCAAGCGUUGUCCGGAAUCAUUGGGCGUAAAGCGUUCGUAGGCGGCAUACCAAGUCUGGUGUUAAAGCCCGAGGCUCAACCUCGGUUCGGCACUGGAUACUGGUAAGCUAGAAUGCGGUAGAGGUGAGGGGAAUUCCUGGUGUAGCGGUGAAAUGCGUAGAUAUCAGGAGGAACAUCGGUGGCGAAAGCGCCUCACUGGGCCGUUAUUGACGCUGAGGAACGAAAGCCGGGGGAGCAAAUG